RNAcentral lists this long non-coding RNA (5209 nucleotides) under Homo sapiens (human). RNAcentral describes it as "HSALNT0187810". Lineage: Eukaryota; Metazoa; Chordata; Mammalia; Primates; Hominidae. The record is from RNAcentral.
GUGAAAGCUCUAUUUAACUGCUCCCAUUGCUUGAUCCAGACACUUCUGACAGUCUGUUUUUACAGACAUGGCAAAACAACACUUGGAAGUCAUUUGAGAAAAUAUUCCUGGUAUCACAGAGGGAGUGUCCUCUAGCUGAGUGAAGUCAUUUUUCCUUGAAUGACUGACAGAAUGGCUUUGGUUCACCUGUAAUUCACAGUUUAGCUGAUCCAGUGUACUGUAAAGUCUGUUUCACUCCACCAGCCAACAAGGAGCAGGCGGCCGUGGUUUUCUCAUGUUCUGGGGGAAGCUGUUUGUCAGUGUUAACCUGGCUAACUUUGGACAGCUGCAACAACAACAUCUAUCCCUUGGCAUAUGGUGUGUUUAGAUGCUAAACACUGCCUCAUCUCGAAGGACUCUCGCCAUGUUGCCCAGACUCAUCUCAAACUACUGGACCCAGACAAUCCUCACACUUUGGCCUCCCAAAAUGCUGAGAUUACAGCUUACCUAAAGUUAACAUCUGAUGACAUGAUCGCAACUCCAUAUCCUGAGUUGAUUUCAACCUAUGAUGUUGGAAUUUUCCACAUGGAGAUAAACACUGGGAAGCAGCUAAUCAUUCUCUCUGGAUUUAUAAGGAACAAAUGGAUAAGUGAAACUUGAAAACAAUGGCCAAAGUACUAAGAACUAAUGUUUCUUCAACAAAACAAAUACUUUUACUUUAAGAACAGAAGAUAAAAGGCCAAAGUUGUAAUAUAAGACAAAUUACGGAAAUAUACACUUAUACAUAUAAAACCACUCCUCUUUUUAAAAAAUCAUGCUUUUUAAGAAGAAUCUUCUCAUAUCAGUGAGAAAGAAAGUUAUCUUAACAAACAAAAAGUAUUUUGAAAAAAAGCGUUCACAUGUAUAAGAAAGAAAAUGAACAAAUAAAUAGGAAAAAAGAUCUCUGGUUCAACCAUAUCAAAGCUUCUUCAUGUUUGUUAUUUUACUCUAAAGGACACCUCCCUGAUCUUGAACUGAUAAUACAGUUAAAAGAAUUAACAGAAAGAGAGAGGGAUAGAAAUGGUCACGUACAGAAUGAAAAAUAAAGGAAAUUUUUUUCUUAUUAUUUUCCUAAUUUGUCUUAAUUCAAAUGAGCAGAAUAGAGUGCUCCAAAUCAGAACUGUGACUCACUAGAACUAAUAUAUUUUGUCAACAUAUUUAUAAUUGAACAUAUCAGUAAUCUUUCAUUUGAACAAUUAAUUGUGUCAGUAAUCAUUUAUCUGCAUAAUAGUUAUAAUUAAUUUGUUACAUUUAUUUAAUUAUUCAUAAUUUAUUACAAAAUGCAACAUCAAGAAUCAUCUAAUAACAAAACUUAUUUGACAGUGUUUGAUAAAUAUGUUUAUGAAUGUCCCACUGAGAUAUGUUAAAAACCACAUUGAUAGCAAAAUUACUUUAAAAUACAUGCUUUAUCAUUAUGGCAAUAGAUGCUGUUUAUGACUCAUCUUGUUUCUAUUCUGUACGACAAACUCUCAGAUCUUCUUUUUUCAAACUUCGAUUUGAUCUCUGAGUUUCUGACUUUCCCCUCUCUCUUUCUUACUUAUUUUUGAAAAAGGACAUUUUGACACUACCAAUAAUGAUAAAAAAAAGAGAGACGAAAAAGUGAGAUUAGCAGGUAAUUUUUAAAGUUAAAGAAUAGUUAUAUUUAGGCAGGGCACAGUGCCUCACGCCUGUAAUCCCAGCACUUUGGGAGGCCAAGGUGGGCAGAUCACAUGAGGUCAGGAGUUUGAGACCAGCAUGGCCAACAUGGUGAACCAUGUUUCUACUAAAAAUACAAAAAUUAGCCUGCUGUGGUGGCACAUGUCUGUAGUCCCAGCUACUGAUGAGGCUAAGGAGGGAGAAUCACUUCAACCCAGGGAGCAGAGCUUGCAGUGAGCUGAGAUCGUGCCACUGCACUCCAGCCUUGGCGACUGAAUGAGUCUCUGCCUCAAAAGAAAAAAAAACAGUGAUAUUUAUUCAUUAUUGCCACAAUAGGAUAAAAUGAUUUAAGUCCAUAUAAAUCUAAGUAAACCUGCAAUUGUUUAUAUCCUAAAAGGACACACAAGGAAGUACGUUUGAAAUUAAUCAUGUGGCUUUCUUCCCACCCCAAAUACUCCCCCACUCUCCAGAUUCUUUAGAGUUCACUUUUCAAAAGGAUUGAAAAAACAUAUAUUUCAAAGUUUUUUUUUUUAAUUUAAGGAAUUGAAAGAGCAGAAAAUAUAUACUAAUCAUUCUUCUUAAGCCCUGUGCUCUGUUUCAUUUUCCAAAGGCGUCUACUCUCAGUGGUUUGUUUUUGCUCUUUUUGUGGUUAUGGUUAUAACUAAAUAUGGUAAUCAUUUACCUCGCUUUGUUGCUGCAUUUACCUGCUAUGAAGUAUGAGGAAUUUAGUUUACUUGCACUUCUACUUUCAAAAUUAUUGUUUAUAGCCUCAAUAUUAGUUCUCCUUGAAUGAUGCAUUUGAACUCCCUAUUUGUAUUGAAAUAGCUACUAUCUUCUACUCUGAAAGAUGAAUAAAUUAAUGCACUUACUUUGGACUUCUUUCCAUCUCUGUUCUUGAUUGUCUUUUAGUUAUAUAAUUGUUUUACACUGUCAAGAAUUAUAAUUCUUAUAUUUUUGCUGAAACUAUUUUUCAUAUCUCAAAUUAUAAGUAUUGAGUAUUUGACUUCAAUUUGUAUAAUCAACUUAUGUACAAAGCAUGGAAGGAUUAAUCCACUGUAGAAUUCAUGGUGUCAUGUGAUUGAUGUCAAAGAAAAGAGAAAAUAUGAUACCAUGUCAUUUAAACUUUACCACUUGAAGAAAAAUUUCACAAGUGCCUGAAUAUAAUAAAUUUUAUUUUAAUAUUUUUCUAGCUUUCUUUACUUCUUUUGAGUCAUACUCAGGUGCUGGCAUUUUGGGGACAACACUUUGGUUUGUUUGGGGUUAUAUAUUUUAUUUUUCUGUAGUCUAGCCUAGUCUACUUUUAUUUAUGGUAUAUGGGUAGUUUGCUCUCUAAGUUCUUGCAUGCUAACAGAUCUUUGAUUUUUGCUCAUAUCUGAUUAAUUAUUUGGAUGAAUAGAGAAUUCUAGGUAUAAAUGGUUUUCUGGAGUCUGUCUUACAGUAUACUUAUGAGAAAUCUGGCCUCUCAGUUAUUUUAUUUCUCCUUCAAUGAUCUUGUCCUCCACCUCAUGCCAACUUCCCACUUCUAUGGUCUUAGACAUUGCCAUGACCAACCGUCCCAUAAUCAUAUUCUCAGAUAUUCCAUUCUCUCCAUUUAGCUAUCUAUAAUUAUCAUAUAUAGAUAUAAAUUAUCAUAUAUCUCCACAACUUUCUAGGGCACACAUUAUAAUAUUUUCAUAAAAUGCCUUAUUUUCUUUUAUGAAUAUGAUGGGAAAUGCUAGAUCAAGGAAUAAUGAACAAAACAAAGGAAUAUAGAUGUUUCAUGUAUUUAUUCAACAUUUAUUGAGUGCUGACCAAGUAACAGACACAAUGCAGACUCUGAGCCUGUAGAGGUAAAUGAUCAACAACAGCAAUAACAAAUCUCAGGUCUCAAAUCCUAGUAAAGAAUUUCACAAUCUAGUACGUCAAAACAUUAGUAUGCUUAACAACUAUUGUAUUCAUGGUGCAAACAGAAAUAGGCCUCUACGCUGAAAAAUAAUAAAAAUAUGAGAAAGAUUUUUCAGGAUAUAUAGCGUUGUUAAGUUUCUUGAAAAAGUUUGGGGAAAUAUUUUGAGAAUAAGAUAAAUUACCUAUUACUAGAAUUUUAGGUUUAUGUUAAAUUUUCUUUACAAUAAGUAAGGGAUAAAGUAAGUAAUACUUUAGUGGUUUAACAAUAUGUCCACAUAUUUUUGGCAUCCUUCCCUUUAAUAAUUGGAGCCUAAUUUCCCUUCUCUUGAAAAUAAUCUAGAAUUAGUGACUAGCUUCUAACAAGAAUGUGGCAGAAGUGACAGCAUCCGACUUCUGAGACUAGGUCAUAGAUGACAUUGCUGAUGCCACGCUCCUCUCUCUUGUAUUGUUUGCCCUGGGGAGAGUCAGCCAUCUGCUAUGUCAUGAGGACACUCAAGCAGCCCGUGGAGAGGCUCACAUGGGGAUAAAGGGAGGCCUCCUGCCAAAAUCCAGCCACAACGUGGCAAUCAUGCGAGUGAGCCACCUCUGAAGUGGAACCUCCAGCCCAGUCAAGCCUUCAGAUGACUGGCACUCACUUUCCUGACUGCAACCUCAUGACAGACCCAAAGCCAGAAUUGUCCAACUAAUGUGUUCCCAAAUGUUUUGACCCACAGAAACUGUGAGAACAAUCAAUUUCUAUUGUUUUAAAGUCGCCUAAGUUUUGGGGUAAUUUGUUAUACUGUGAUGAACAGCUACAUACAAAUUUAAGUUUAUUAAAUUAGAAGUUGAAGGAGAGAAAUGAAAGUCAAAUUCUAGUACUCAGUAAAUUCUAAAAGCUUAUGAUACCAGUUAGUUUUUACAUCAUAACAUAAUCGCUUCUUUUUUUUUUUUCUGAACAAAAUUGCUAUGGAAAAACCCAACUCAAAGGUUAGUGAAAGAGAAAUAUAGUUUUCAUUUAAAAGGGAAAGUACAACUUUGCUGUAGGUCUUAGAUAAAAAUAGAUUGUAUAAUCUGAAAACCUCCCCACAACUUUUUUGUGAGUUUAUAUUAUUUUCUCCUUUUAAAAGAUGGUUAAACUGCUAACUAAAAGGAAUUUCAGAAGAGAACUGCCAUAAAAAAUUUUAACUUCUUAUACAAUGGAUAGACUUAUUUGCUAUUUGUACAAUAUACAUACUAUGAAAUACAAUGGUUUGCAUGAUUUAGAAUUGUGUAAGUUUUUUUGAAAAUAACUGUGGAGGUAUAAGUGGAAGCUUGACUCCAAAAUCAGACUUUUCCUAACUCAUCCUCUUUCAACUGAGAAAACUGCCUAUCGGAACUGGGUGCAUAGGGAAAUAUCAGACAGAAUAUGGACAACUGCCAGGACUUGUGGUUUUUUUUUAAAGGACUUGGGCAAUGACCAUGGUUGGUGUCAUAAUAAAGCACAUAGAUUUUUCUUUUAAAAAACAUUUGUAAAAGGGAAUGGAUUAAAGAAGUUCUUUGAUCUCAGAAAUGGCAUAUAUCUAUGUAGGUUGUUUUUUGUUAUAUUUUCAAUUGACUACCUUUCAUACUUGGGAUUCCCUCAAAGAAAUAAAGUUCUCUGAAAAAGCUUUUGAUACUUUAUUAAAAAAUCCAUCGUCUGGGCGCGGUAGCUCAU